GACGAACGCUGGCGGCGUGCUUAACACAUGCAAGUCGAACGGAAAGGCCUCUUUCGGGGGGUACUCGAGUGGCGAACGGGUGAGUAACACGUGAGUAACCUGCCCUUGACUUUGGGAUAACUUCAGGAAACUGGGGCUAAUACCGGAUAGGAGCUCCUGCUGCAUGGUGGGGGUUGGAAAGUUUCGGCGGUUGGGGAUGGACUCGCGGCUUAUCAGCUUGUUGGUGGGGUAGUGGCUUACCAAUGCUUUGACGGGUAGCCGGCCUGAGAGGGUGACCGGCCACAUUGGGACUGAGAUACGGCCCAGACUCCUACGGGAGGCAGCAGUGGGGAAUAUUGCACAAUGGGUGGAAGCCUGAUGCAGCAACGCCGUGUGCGGGAUGACGGCCUUCGGGUUGGAAACCGCUUUCGCUCAUGACGAAGCUUUGUGUGACGGUAGUGGGUAAAGAAGCACCGGCUAACUACGUG
RNAcentral lists this ribosomal RNA (467 nucleotides) under uncultured bacterium. RNAcentral describes it as "partial 16S ribosomal RNA". It matches the Rfam family "Bacterial small subunit ribosomal RNA", at positions 28 to 507 of the family's 1533-position model. The record is from RNAcentral.